CUAAGAAUAUUCCGCAAUGGACGAAAGUCUGACGGAGCGACGCCGCGUGGAUGAUGAAGGCCGGAAGGUUGUAAAAUCCUUUUAAGUAUGAGGAAUAAGCAGUGUGAGAGAAACGCAUUGUGGUGACUGUAGUACUUGAAUAAGCAACGGCUAAUUACGUGCCAGCAGCCGCGGUAAUACGUAUGGAGCAAGCGUUAUCCGGAUUUACUGGGUGUAAAGGGAGUGUAGGUGGCAUCACAAGUCAGAAGUGAAAGCCCGGGGCUCAACCCCGGGACUGCUUUUGAAACUGUGGAGCUAGAGUGCAGGAGGGGCAAGUGGAAUUCCUAGUGUAGCGGUGAAAUGCGUAGAUAUUAGGAGGAACACCAGUGGCGAAGGCGGCUUGCUGGACUGUAACUGACACUGAGGCUCGAAAGCGUGGGGAGCAAACAGGAUUAGAUACCCUGGUAGU
Molecule: ribosomal RNA, 448 nt
Filed under: uncultured Lachnospiraceae bacterium
Lineage: Bacteria; Bacillati; Bacillota; Clostridia; Lachnospirales; Lachnospiraceae
Description: bacterial SSU rRNA
Rfam family: Bacterial small subunit ribosomal RNA
Source: RNAcentral